RNAcentral lists this ribosomal RNA (121 nucleotides) under Pogona vitticeps (central bearded dragon). Lineage: Eukaryota; Metazoa; Chordata; Lepidosauria; Squamata; Agamidae. The record is from RNAcentral.
UUUCACCAUUAUGCCACCUCAAAUAUGCCUGAUCUCAUCUGAUUUUGAAAGCUAAGUAAGUAUUGGUGUGGUUAGUACUUGGAUGGUAGACCAUCAAGGAUUGUGUAGGGAAUGGUAGCUC